UGCAGACUUCAUACGCCCAGGGCACACGCCCAUACUUGAGGCCGUGUCAUCCACAUGGCUGAGACACACGCCCGUGUCUCUGCCAGUGUGCUCAAUACUGAGCAGUCUAUUUUGAAAAAAUUAAGGUGCGGGGGACACACGGCCAGAAUACACCUCUAUGGGGCAAGCCAUGUGUCACACAAGGCCUAGACACAUCCCCAUUUGUCUACCCAUAUGGACAAAAAUAAGGCUAUUUUCUAAGCCAUAUUAUCACCCUUCCAUGCA
RNAcentral lists this long non-coding RNA (264 nucleotides) under Gossypium barbadense (sea-island cotton). RNAcentral describes it as "long non-coding RNA (GBAR_LNC000358)". Lineage: Eukaryota; Viridiplantae; Streptophyta; Magnoliopsida; Malvales; Malvaceae. The record is from RNAcentral.